This 380-nucleotide unclassified non-coding RNA is filed under the name uncultured Glomeromycotina. Its description in RNAcentral is "sequence contains ITS1". The stretch from base 1 to 105 matches the Rfam family "5.8S ribosomal RNA", at positions 50 to 154 of the family's 154-position model. Lineage: Eukaryota; Fungi; Glomeromycota. The record is from RNAcentral.
GAAUUGCGACAAGUAGUGUGAAUUGCAGAAUUCCGUGAAUCAUCGAAUCUUUGAACGCAUAUUGCACUUUUUGGUAUUCCGAAAAGUAUGCCUGUUUGAGGGUCAUUGAAUGAAAUCGACGCAAUAGUAUGUAAUGUAAUGUACAAUUGUAAUCGGAUGGUUGAGCAUUUCGCGAGAUAUUUUUAUAGUGAUUGCUCGAAAUUGAAGCAUGGUCUCGGCCUUUUAUAGAGACGCGUUUAUGGUGGCUUGCCUCCUUUAUUUCGCAACUUUUAGGUCGAAUUUCCGUGGUUGUUUGGGCAGUUUCUCUUUUUGAGAAAAGGCACUUGCAGUUUAUAUUUUAUCGUGACCUCAAAUCAAGCAAGAAUACCCGCUGAACUUAA